Molecule: non-coding RNA, 78 nt
Filed under: uncultured Clostridium sp.
Lineage: Bacteria; Bacillati; Bacillota; Clostridia; Eubacteriales; Clostridiaceae
Description: Cyclic di-GMP-I riboswitch
Rfam family: c-di-GMP-I riboswitch aptamer
About the family: GEMM was predicted in a large-scale screen for bacterial structured RNA regulatory elements. Genes associated with GEMM are involved in a diverse array of functions, including chemotaxis regulation, signal transduction, secretion and chitin.
Source: RNAcentral
UUUUAUAGGCAAACCUAAAGAAAUUUAGGGACGCAAAGCUAUAGGGGUUAAGGUUUUUUAACUAUACCAGCCAGUUGC